AUGUUGCAUCUGAUGGCCGGCGAGGAGCCGACCACAUUUGUUGAAGCAGAGCGUGAGGAUUGCUGGCAUCGCAUGAUGCUAGAUGAGCUGUCGUCGAUCGAUGACAACGCUACUUGGACACUCACCACGCUGCCCGCAGGGCAUCGAGCUAUUGGGCUCAAGUGGGUGUUCAAGGUAAAGAAGGACGAGCACGGCGCCAUUGUCAAGCAAGAGGCCCGGCUCAUUGCAAAAGGGUAUGCGCGACGCACAGGGGUGGACUUCCAGGAAGUCUUUGCUCCCGUAGCAAGGCUCGAGUCUGUUCGACUUAUCCUGGCCCUGGGAAGUUCACCACAUGGAGGUCAAGGCGGCGUUCCUCAAUGGCGACCUUGA
RNAcentral lists this ribosomal RNA (369 nucleotides) under Triticum aestivum (bread wheat). RNAcentral describes it as "partial small subunit ribosomal RNA". Lineage: Eukaryota; Viridiplantae; Streptophyta; Magnoliopsida; Poales; Poaceae. The record is from RNAcentral.